UGCAAGUCGAACGGGAAACAUUUUAUUGAAGCUUCGGCAGAUUUAACUUGUUUCUAGUGGCGGACGGGUGAGUAACGCGUGGGUAACCUGCCUUAUACUGGGGGAUAACAGCCAGAAAUGGCUGCUAAUACCGCAUAAGCGCACAGAACCGCAUGGUUCGGUGUGAAAAACUCCGGUGGUAUAAGAUGGACCCGCGUUGGAUUAGCUAGUUGGCAGGGCAGCGGCCUACCAAGGCGACGAUCCAUAGCCGGCCUGAGAGGGUGAACGGCCACAUUGGGACUGAGACACGGCCCAGACUCCUACGGGAGGCAGCAGUGGGGAAUAUUGCACAAUGGGGGAAACCCUGAUGCAGCGACGCCGCGUGAAGGAAGAAGUAUCUCGGUAUGUAAACUUCUAUCAGCAGGGAAGAUAAUGACGGUACCUGACUAAGAAGCCCCGGCUAACUACGUGCCAGCAGCCGCGGUAAUACGUAGGGGGCAAGCGUUAUCCGGAUUUACUGGGUGUAAAGGGAGCGUAGACGGCGCAGCAAGUCUGAUGUGAAAGGCAGGGGCUUAACCCCUGGACUGCAUUGGAAACUGCUGUGCUUGAGUGCCGGAGGGGUAAGCGGAAUUCCUAGUGUAGCGGUGAAAUGCGUAGAUAUUAGGAGGAACACCAGUGGCGAAGGCGGCUUACUGGACGGUAACUGACGUUGAGGCUCGAA
RNAcentral lists this ribosomal RNA (700 nucleotides) under uncultured bacterium. RNAcentral describes it as "bacterial SSU rRNA". It matches the Rfam family "Bacterial small subunit ribosomal RNA", at positions 56 to 757 of the family's 1533-position model. The record is from RNAcentral.